UACGGGGGGGGGCAAGCGUUGUUCGGAAUUACUGGGCGUAAAGGGCUCGUAGGCGGCCAACUAAGUCAUACGUGAAAUCCCUCGGCUUAACCGGGGAACUGCGUCUGAUACUGGAUGGCUUGAGUCGGGAGAGGGAUGCGGAAUUCCAGGUGUAGCGGUGAAAUGCGUAGAUAUCUGGAGGAACACCGGUGGCGAAGGCGGCAUCCUGGACCGAUACUGACGCUGGAGGAGCGAAAGCCAGGGGAGCAAACAGGG
This 255-nucleotide ribosomal RNA is filed under the name uncultured bacterium. Its description in RNAcentral is "partial 16S ribosomal RNA". It matches the Rfam family "Bacterial small subunit ribosomal RNA", at positions 524 to 777 of the family's 1533-position model. The record is from RNAcentral.